This 390-nucleotide ribosomal RNA is filed under the name Bacillus sp. (in: firmicutes). Its description in RNAcentral is "bacterial SSU rRNA". It matches the Rfam family "Bacterial small subunit ribosomal RNA", at positions 1053 to 1444 of the family's 1533-position model. Lineage: Bacteria; Bacillati; Bacillota; Bacilli; Caryophanales; Bacillaceae. The record is from RNAcentral.
CGUCAGCUCGUGUCGUGAGAUGUUGGGUUAAGUCCCGCAACGAGCGCAACCCUUNAUCUUAGUUGCCNGCAUUCAGUUGGGCACUCUAAGGUGACUGCCGGUGACAAACCGGAGGAAGGUGGGGAUGACGUCAAAUCAUCAUGCCCCUUAUGACCUGGGCUACACACGUGCUACAAUGGACAGAACAAAGGGCUGCGAGACCGCAAGGUUUAGCCAAUCCCACAAAUCUGUUCUCAGUUCGGAUCGCAGUCUGCAACUCGACUGCGUGAAGCUGGAAUCGCUAGUAAUCGCGGAUCAGCAUGCCGCGGUGAAUACGUUCCCGGGCCUUGUACACACCGCCCGUCACACCACGAGAGUUUGCAACACCCGAAGUCGGUGAGGUAACCUUUA